GAGGUUCGAGUGCUUGGAUGUAUUUCGAGCUUUUCCACACUUGGUGGAGGGUUGUAGAAUGUUUUCCGACCUAGAAAGUUCGAAAACUAGAAUUCUGGACAAGUCCUGAGAGUUUUUACUCUCGGGGACCGGUCCUUGGAAGGAGAGACCGGUCCCCCAGUGAGCAGUGUUGCGGCAGCCCUGAGGCAACCGGUCCCUGGCGGGCGAGACUGGUCCCUGAGCUCAUCUUCGCAGUGAGAGACCGGUCCCGCGCAGGGAGAGACCGGUUCCCGAACGUUGGUUCUCCGGGUUCGCAGCGAGAGACCGGUCCCUGCUGGGGAGAGACCGGUCCCUCUGGGCGAAAACUGCCCAGACCGGACUGUUGUAAUUUUGGAUUUUUGGGGGACCUAGCUGGAUUUUGUUGCAAUAGAGGGUCUAUAUGACCCAUCCACUUUCUCCUCUCCUCAUUUCUCUUCUCUCAACUCUCUCUACACCCUUGAUAGAGAAGAAGAAGAAGAAGGAGAAGGAGAAGAAGGAAGGAAGAAGAAGAAGUUUGAGAGCUACUAGUGGACUUGGAGCAUCUUCCUCACCCUCUCUUCUUCCUUGGUGCUUGGAGCUUGGACUUGGAGCUUGCAAGAGAGAAGAUCUUCACCCUUUGAGCUUGGAUUGAAGCUUCUU
This 657-nucleotide long non-coding RNA is filed under the name Ananas comosus (pineapple). Its description in RNAcentral is "long non-coding RNA (ACOM_LNC023376)". The record is from RNAcentral. Lineage: Eukaryota; Viridiplantae; Streptophyta; Magnoliopsida; Poales; Bromeliaceae.